RNAcentral lists this long non-coding RNA (3850 nucleotides) under Homo sapiens (human). RNAcentral's name for it is "HSALNT0300840". The record is from RNAcentral. Lineage: Eukaryota; Metazoa; Chordata; Mammalia; Primates; Hominidae.
GAAACAAAACGAAAACAAAAAACCAGGGCCCCAGUAUUAGAGUUUCUAAUUCAAUAGGUACAGGAUGGGGCCUGAUAAUUUGCACUUUUAACAAGUUUCCAGGUGCUGCUGCUGCUGCAGAUCUGGGAACCACACUUUGAGAACCACUGAACAAGACAUUAUGUCAUUGGUCCCUAUUAAAAAAAAGAAAGCCAUCUUCAAAUGAUCUUCACACUGGCAGAGCCAUAAGCUGCGAUGGAACCUAACCUCUGUGCCCCUUCAAUGUGGAACAUGUGGUCAUCAAAGAAGAUGUGGGGCCGGAUCUUCACCAAGAUGGGACUUUUGGGGGCUCCAGCAAGGAAAAGAGCUUCGUCUAUCUCUAGACCCCAGCGUCGAAGGGUCUUCAGCACACGGGCGCCUGAACUGGCUGCACUCCUAGCUGUAACCAGCACUGGUGUUCCUGCUUCUAGGCUCAUCUAUGGAUGGAGCCUUGGUGGAUGGGCUCCGGGAUAUUCUAGACCAUUGACUGCGCACAAGGUACCCUCGAGAGUCUGUCUUCCGCAGUGAUGAUUCUUGUGAUCCCUGUGAUGGAAAGAAGAAACCCAACGGUGUAAAACCCCAUCACCAACUCCUUCUAUACGUGUGCCUGCAGAAUAGUCAUGUCAGGCUGAAUAUAGCAGCACCCAGUGAGAAGAUCCCUGGCCUCAAUGACUCUUAACUCAACCUGAACUCUUCUGUACUAUUCUAACUCUGGUCUAGUCCUCACUUCUGUUUGGAGCAUCUAUGUGGGGGUCCACUUGAAAGAGCAUCCAAAACCAAGAUGCAAACAUAUUUUUUCACUGUGACUCCUCUUAUGUGGAUAUUAGUAUGGUUCACCAUUGUUCCUCCCUUUUCCUCACUUCUUCCCUCGAGGAUAAGCCUGUUAACAGAUGCUGAAACAAUAUAUCCACCAUUUUUUACCAGACUGUAAAGGUGAGGGCAACUGGUGCCCCACUGAGGUUGCAGGGGGACUCUAAGGCAGCUGCUGAAAAGGAAUGGAGCCCUCAAGCUUUUCUUUUAGGAGAAACAAGAAUGAAGGACCCCCCGGAACAGCAAAGUAAAAGAGUUUCUAUUUGCCAUAUUCUUCCCCUCACCCAGGUUGUCUGUGGUUCCCCUCCAGAAUCGGUAGUGUGAUCUCUGCUCACCCUCAUCAUGGUGAUCUGCUGGCCCUGCUCCCACAACAGGCACAUGUGAAUAUAAAUACGUAUUGUGUGGCAGGGGCCAAGGGCUGUUCCCUCAGCUGCACAAAGGCAGCGUCUACACGACGAGUGACCCUGGAAGGGGCAACAUCUCAGCGAGUGAUUCGGAUUGACUGCACGCCUCAUCUGAAAGAUUGUGCAGAAAGUGGUCAAUGCCAUGGCCAGACCCCCUCCCCUCCCUGAUUUGAACAAAGACCAGUCUCCCCCCUGUGUAGGCUGAGCAGAGGAGCCUGCUGUGGUUCCACACAUUCGAAGUGAACACUAGGGUAUGGAUGGAGGGGAAGGCAGGGCCCAACCUUUCCUAGUUCCUUAACCUUCUCAUGAGGACAUUAGGGACGCCUUAAUACAAUUCUCAACAGCUUGGUCUUCUCUCCCAGAACUCCCUGCCCCCUAACAUUUUCCAUUAUGCUUUCUGCUCCUUAAUUUCCUCACCUCUGCUACAGAGAUCAGCUCACCUGAUUGCUCAGACGAACUCCUGUUUUGUCAGAUUCCUUUCUUUUUUCUGCUUCUAGACUCUCUUUUGAGGACCUCAUUCCAGGCUCAUUCUUGACAAGGAAACAAAGAAUGUUUAUUAAUUUUUAAUCUCAGGGCAUUAGGAACUUUGGCUUUCAGAAUAAAAGGAUAAAGAAAACACAAAAUUUAUUUAUUUGCCAAUAUAAAAAGGUAUAAACUCUAGACCUUAGUUUCCCCUGUUCUAACAAGCAUGAGUAAAAGGUAACACAUAUUUUAUUAAAAAGAAUUAUAUAAACAAGUUUUAAUAUAGAAAUUUGUUGGUUCAUAGAUUUGAGAUAUAAAGCAUUUAUUGUUUAAAGACUGAUAACAUGGGAAAUAUUAGAGAAUUGUGAAGUUGUUUAUGUAGAAUAAGUUUGUUUUUUUUUCUAUUACUCUGAAGAUUGCUACUUAUGGAACUUACUUUUCCUUGCCAUUUAGAAUUCAAUUUUUUCUUGUUUUCAUCAUCACUACAGCUCAAACUUUUUGUGGCUCUAGCCUCACCAAUAUUAGUUUGAUUUCUAAAUAUAAGGACCUUAAUCUCAUACAAAUUUAUUGAAAGUCAUGUCUUCUGUUCCUAUCAUUUAAUUACUCAUAGAUCUAGAGUGGAAAGGGAUUUCUUACCAACAAAUUAACAACAGAUAGGGAAAACCAAGUAAAAGAGCACAAGAAGAUGACUCACUUUAUGGAACUCUACUCAAAUAUUUAUGUUUUCAUUUUCAUUUGGAGGAGAUACUUAUUGGAAUAUUAUUUGAACUGUUUCAUGCUAAGUAAGUAGCUGCAAUGUGAUCAAGAUUAGUGUUAUUUAUAUGUUUAAGGAGCACAACUUCUAAGUUAGACCAAGAUCCACUAGAGCAGUCUAUAUUCAUCCGUUUAUGCUCUGUGUCUUGCAUGCAGGAAAAAUCUCAUCAAUGUUAGUUGCAUGAGAAUGUUAGUUGCAUGAGAGAAUGGCAUAGCUGUAUGACUCCUGAACUAAUUUUAAAAUCUUUUCAUCAACCCUCACUCACCUUAUACACAUACAUAGCAGUCACCAUAAUACCUCUUACUUCUAAUUCCAAAUGAUAUUUUGAAUCCAGUUCCUUUUUUCUAUCUCUAUUAUCAUUGCCUUGUUCCAGGUCUCUGACCAUCCUGGGACUACAUUUUCAGAAUAUAGCCUUUCAAACAGGUUUCAUGGCCUUAAAUCCUCUCCACUUCUAGAUCUGUCCACCGUAUUUAUUUAGAGUAAUAUUUACAAGAUGUAAAUCUAGUAAUGCUUCAUUCCUGGAUAAACACUUUCUUCACUUGGUUUGACCAGGAGCCUCAUGAUGUUUUCCUGUGUACCUGCUACUUGCAUGCCCUUCACUCUAUACUUUAUCACUAUGUUCUACUAAUACCAAGUGACUUGUAUUUGCCUGCAUACACCAGCCUUAUUUCCUUAUGGUCUCCUCUUCUCUCCUGUGUUCUUCGAAACCCAGCUCAGUGUGACCUGGGGGAAGUUCCCAGAGUGAAAUAUUGCCCUGUGUUCCUUGUGUCUUUUGUACAUACUUUUAUGGAGCAAUGAGUUGUCCUUUGUCUAUUGUCUUUCCUACUAGGCCAUGCAUUCUUCAAAGACAGCCACUGUUUUUACCUUUUACUACUAACAUAUGAGUAUAUGCUAAAUGAAUACUGACUUAUUGGAAUCAUUUAUAUACUACACGUUUUUUAAUCUCUUUCUUUGCUGUCUUAAUUUCUUUUAAAUUUCUCCUUCUUCCCUUUUCUGUACUCUUUCCAUUGCCUUUAUUCUCUCCCUUCUCUUUUCCUCUACCUGAAGCCAUUAUCUGAAAUUAUUUGAUCAUUGCAGAGCCUUUGCAGAGGCAAAUGAUGGACUGAUAUCCACAUUUCUUCAGCCCCAUGGCAAGAUUCUAAGACACUCGGUUCACUCACCUUUUUCUGUUUGAGAGAUGUUUGACUCAUUUUUUUACCUGUUGAAAUUCUUUUGUUGUUAUCCACAUUUUUGUCUCCCCAGCUCCAUUUCCUGUCACUUCCCUUGCUCAGUCUAGCUUUGCAUUUAGAAUGUCAAAUUUAUGACAUCAUAUGUGAUUCCAUAGUAACAAACUGACUCUAUGAAUAUGUGAUUAACCUUUUCUUAAAAAACAAAAAAUAAAUGUUUCUUCAUUUUGAGUGUA